GUUUGCAGGCCCGGCACAGUCUCACUUCCCCACAGCACAGAGAGGAAGCCAGGGCUUUGCAUGCCCUGUUCACUUGGCCAAACAUUGCCCUAGAUGUGCAAUUCAACCCAUAUAAAGCAAGUGUAAUUCAAGAGCCCUGACUCCUUCACUAUUUCAUGAUUGCUUAUUACUCGUACACGGCAUUGUCAGGUUCCAGCAACUGUGUGUGCAGCGGGCAGAAAUGCAGUAUUUAUCUCUGAGAGGCAAACAUUCUUAAGCUCGUCAGCAUGAGUAUCCACACUGAACUGGCUAUCAGGGAAAUAGACCCCUGCACGGGAAAGUCAAGAGCUUCAGAAUCUUCUGCAUUUAUCCAAGACAAGAGAAAAGAAAUUUGAGAAAGUGUACCUGUUUUUCGCCAUCUUCUACUCACUUGCUCUUGGAAUUAACAAAACACAGAACCAUACCUAAGUGCAAAGUGGUCGAGAAAUGUAUUUCCUGAUGGGGCAACCACCUUCCAGUGAUAACUUCACACUCUGAAAGGGGGUGAUGGAUGGAGCAUUUCAACCACAAUGGCAAAGAAUGAAUUACCGGCAGUGUCAGAGUUUCCUGUUGCUGUGGGAAGACAGCUGCCAUGUUGAGAGGUGCCCUGUGGAGAGGCUCAUGUGGCAAGGAACUGAGGGUGGCUUCUAUCCAACAACCAGUGAGGAACUGAGGCCCUCAAGUCCAUAGUCCAUGAGGAACUAAAUACUACUAACAACCACAUGAGUGAGCCUAGAAUCUGAUUUUCCCCAAUGGAGACUUAAGGUACCUGCAACCCGGCUGUUAAGGACUAAACUGCAUCCUGCCCAAAUUUAUAUGUUGGAGUCUUAACUCCCAGCACUUCAGAACAUGACUUUAUUUGGAGACCUAGUCAUUAAAGAGGUAAUGAAGUUAAAAUGAGGUUAUUAGGAUGAGUCCUAAUCCAAUAGGACUGGUGUUCUUAUACGAAGAGGAAAUUUGAACACAGACACAUAUAGUGUCUGACCAUAGGAAAGACCAUAGGAAGAAGACACAGAGAGGAAAUGGUCAUCUACAAUCUUAGGAAAGAGGCCUCAGAACAAGCCAACCCUGCAGAUACCUUGAUCUAGACCUCCAGAAUUGUAUGAAAAGAUACUUUUGUUAUUUAAGCCACCCAGUCUGUGGUGCUUUGUUAUGGCAAUCCCAGAAAACUAAUUAACUAAUUGACUGCAGCCUUGCAAGGGACCCUGAACCAGAGGACUCAGUAAAGCUGUGUGCAGAUUCCUGACUCACAGAACUAGGAGAUAAUAAAUGUGUGUUGUUCUAAGAUGCCAAAUCUUGGGAAAAUAUGUUAGGUAGCUAUGUUGUUUUGCACAUGUGCCAUGUAAUCAUGUUUUGGUCAACAACAGACCACAUAUAUGAUGGUGGUCACGUAAGAUUGUAAUACUGUGUUUCUAUCAUGCAUUCUCUAUGUUUAGAUACACAAAUACUCAUCACUGUGUUACAAUUGCCUCCUGUCUUCAGUACUGUAACAUGUUGUACAGGCUUGUAACCCAGAGGCAAUAGACUACACCAUACAGCCUGGGUGUGUAGUAGGCUAUACCAUCUAUGUUUGCGAAGUACAUUGUGUGAUGUUCACAUCAUUUUGAAGUUGCCUAGUGAUGCAUUUCUCAGAAUGUAUGCCCAACAUGAAGUGACACAUGGCUUUAUGUCUAUCAUGCAUUUAAGAUACUGUGAUAUAGUUAACUUACGUUUUAAUAUACCUCUUAAUUCUAUUUUGAUCCCACACCAACCAAGGUGCAAAACUAAUGUUUUCACCCAUUUCCAUAAAAAACACAAUUACAGUGGGA
Molecule: long non-coding RNA, 1826 nt
Organism: Piliocolobus tephrosceles (Ugandan red Colobus)
Lineage: Eukaryota; Metazoa; Chordata; Mammalia; Primates; Cercopithecidae
Exons: 3
Source: RefSeq, a predicted model, not a curated record